UACGUAGGGUGCAAGCGUUAAUCGGAAUUACUGGGCGUAAAGCGUGCGCAGGCGGUGAUGUAAGACAGUUGUGAAAUCCCCGGGCUCAACCUGGGAACUGCAUCUGUGACUGCAUCGCUGGAGUGCGGCAGAGGGGGAUGGAAUUCCGCGUGUAGCAGUGAAAUGCGUAGAUAUGCGGAGGAACACCGAUGGCGAAGGCAAUCCCCUGGGCCUGCACUGACGCUCAUGCACGAAAGCGUGGGAGCA
Molecule: ribosomal RNA, 246 nt
Filed under: uncultured bacterium
Lineage: Bacteria
Description: partial 16S ribosomal RNA
Rfam family: Bacterial small subunit ribosomal RNA
Source: RNAcentral